GACGAACGCUGGCGGCGUGCUUAACACAUGCAAGUCGAACGGAAAGGCCCUGCUUUUGUGGGGUGCUCGAGUGGCGAACGGGUGAGUAACACGUGAGUAACCUGCCCUUGACUUUGGGAUAACUUCAGGAAACGGGGGCUAAUACCGGAUCGGAGCUCCUGCUGCAUGGUGGGGGUGGGAAAGUUUCGGCGGUUGGGGAUGGACUCGCGGCUUAUCAGCUUGUUGGUGGGGUAGUGGCUUACCAAGGCUUUGACGGGUAGCCGGCCUGAGAGGGUGACCGGCCACAUUGGGACUGAGAGACGGCCCAGAGUCCUACGGGAGGCAGCAGUGGGGAAUCUUGCCCAAUGGGCGGAAGCCGGAUGAAGAAACGCCGCGUGCGGGAUGACGGCCUGCGGGUUGUAAACCGCUUUCGCCUGUGACGAAGCGUGAGUGACGGUAAUGGGUAAAGAAGCACCGGCUAACUACGUG
This 468-nucleotide ribosomal RNA is filed under the name uncultured bacterium. RNAcentral's name for it is "partial 16S ribosomal RNA". It matches the Rfam family "Bacterial small subunit ribosomal RNA", at positions 28 to 507 of the family's 1533-position model. The record is from RNAcentral.